This 128-nucleotide ribosomal RNA is filed under the name Hetaerina occisa. RNAcentral's name for it is "partial 12S ribosomal RNA". The record is from RNAcentral. Lineage: Eukaryota; Metazoa; Arthropoda; Insecta; Odonata; Calopterygidae.
GAAAGUAAAAUAAUUUAUUUGGUUUAUUGAUGUUAGCUNUAAAAUAUGCACACAUCGCCCGUCGCUCUCGUGAUAAAUGAGAUAAGUNGUAACAUAGUAGAUGUAUUGGAAAAUGUAUCUAGAAAGUC